AUGCCUGAGGUGGUCCAGGGGGAGGGGCAGAAAGCCUGCAGGAGAGGCUCCACUGUGUCUGCCUCAGGGUCUGGGAGGGCGUCUGGUCAGGUCUGGUCAGCUUGUCAGGUCACCCGGGGAGAGAGUGGGGGUGCAGGGGGCAGGCAGAGGCUGCCGCUCCCUUUCCUCAGAAGCAGCUCAGCCUUCUGCACAGCCCUGGCUGGCGCUGUGGCUUCUCCUCCUCCCUGUCGGCCCUUACAACCCACAUUAUCACAUUUUUUUACUGGAGGCCCUGCGACCGGGCGUGAGGCCUGGGGCUGUGGGGGCAGGGCCAGGGAGGUUGCCGCUGGCUGGCUCUCUCAGCUUCCGGCCGCUGCGGCUUCCGGCCUCUCUGAGGAAGCAGGGCGUGACACAGAAGGACCGCUGCAGGUAGGACGCGCCACCCGAGUGUCACCUUGCUUCCUGAAUGCUCACGUGCCAGCUUCACAUCCGGUUUCCUGCAGGCACAGAGACCCAGGCAGGGCCUGGCUGCAGCCCAGGUGAACUCCCCGGAAGGAGGGGGUCUGGUUUCCAAAUCAGAGGGAAGAAGUCUGUAAACAGCUCAGGUAGGCCAGAGGGCAGGGAGAGGAACCGUGCUGACUCUAUCCUUUCCAGGUGUGGGAACAGGGCAGUUCAGCAAUGGAUGGUGGGUGCCGGAGCCCGGCACGGCAGGGAAAAAACACUUCUGACUGGCAUUUCCUGGCACACCUGACUGGCUUGGUAAUCUCCUGCUCCUGAGACAUAUGGGUGCUUGGGAACAUUUUAACCCAGAGGCAAGUAAGAGAAAGUUUUGUGUUGAUCAAGGCUCUUCCAGCUGGAGUGACAGAAAAUUCAACUCAAGUACAAGUAAUAAUAGGUAAUGUUGUAUAGCAUUUACUGCACAUCAAGCUUUAUCUAAGUCCUCUAUACCUUAACUGCUAUUCCUCUCAACAGUUCUAUUCUUGUCCCCAUUUUACACAAAGUCACUGAGGAACCUCAAGAUCACACAACGUGGCCAGCCAGGAUUAAAACUCCGAGAUGCUCAUCCUCCUCACCCCUACCCUUUCCUGCCUCUUGAGAUUGAACAGGAAGACAGAGUUUUGUGCCAGCACACGUCCCCUGGUCCCACAGAGGCAGGAUGCAGGUGGGGCUUGGAAGACAGGUGACAGGAACAAGUGUGCCUCGGGACUCCCCUUCUCAGUCUUUAGUUCCUGUUUUCCUGUAGGCUAGACUGAUUUUCAUCUACUGCAGCUUGAUUUCCUCCACCCGUAAAGGGGAACCUGGCUUCUGGCAGCUCCAGAGCUCCAUUCAGCCCCUAAAGAGAAAAAAAAAACACCCUCUCUCUGUGCUCCAAGUUGGAAACUUCUAGGAGAGGGCUCCGACUGGCCAGUCAACAGAAAGCAAGGAGCCUGGGAGGGCAGGGGGUUCUGUAAGAAGAUGGGAGUUUCCAUUGUAAUUCUUGGUCAGAACUGUGGGAGAGGCCAGUUCCAAGAAGAAGGAGGUAGAGACCUUGUUGGACCCAAGUGCCCUCUGGGUAAAACUGAUGACUGGGAAAACUCUCCGAAUCCAGGCCUGCAUAACACCAUGGGCCAGGAUCCCCAGGGGCUGACAGAGAAGCGCAGUGGGGAAAGAGAGGAAAUAAGAGGACUUAGUUGCUCUCAAAGGAAAUGAGAGUAAGCAGAGAAGGGAAGAAGUCAAGAAUGGAUGCUGGCAUGAUGGACAGCUGUCCUUGAGACAGGCUGGGAGCCAAGAAGUAAGUAUGCAGGACAAAUGCUCCUGGAUUCCUAGGUCAAGGGUUAAGAGUCUACAGGUAUCCGUGCUCUGUUCUUUCUUCUACAAGGACAGGCUCCAGGGACCACCAGGAUGCCUCCUGGAAAUUAGUCUCUGCCCUCCCUCCCAGCUUGUAUUAGACUUAUUCCUGAAUAAGUAUAAUCACCCCUAAACUAAAACAAUGGUAUUCAUUUAUUACCUCGCACAGUUUCUACGGAGGGACAUGUAGGUGUUUCCCAGCUUUUUCCCCUUUACAAACACUGAUACAAUGAGUAUACAUGCACAGGUCUACCUAGGCUGUGUUGCAUCGCUUGAUAGAACUUAGAGGGAAAGGGUUGUAUUUGGAGCCACAUCUUCCUGGGUCCAAAUCCCACCUCCUCUAUCUAAUAGCCGUGCAAACAUGGGCAUGUUUAACUACCUCACACGUCAGUUCCCUCAUCCUUAAAACGGCAAUAAUGCCUUCCUAUAGGGCUGUUGGGAGGGGAAUCGUGCAGGAUUGACCUGAGGAUCACAUAAUAUAAGCCAUGUAAAGCAUCUCGCACAUUCAGCCUCUAAGAUUCACUUUCCCCAUCUGUAAAAUGGUGGUAUUACUUCCCUGGUUGAAUGGUUUUGAGGAUUAAAUCUCACAGACUUGUAAAGACUAAAUGAAAGAACCCAAGGAAAGCACUUAGCUCUGAGCCUGGCCCAUAGAAAGUGCUCAGCAAACGUUAGCUCUUGCUAUGGUUCAUAGUCUCCACUAAGUUUGCUAUUUUAUUACAGGUAUUAAAACUACUACACAGCCUUAGAGCAGCUAUAUUUUAUGUCAAUUAUGGUUCUUAACAACUAAAAAUAUUUGCUGAGAGUAAUCUAGGCAGAAGACUCAAAGCAGACCCUUUAGGGAUAGAAAUGUACAUAGAAAUAAGUCUCAUUAAUUUGUUUCUUUUUAUUUUCUUUUGGGGAAAUCAAAGUAUCUUCUUUAGCUGUAACAUGGAAGUGAGCCUUUGUAGGCUGGUGGGGUGGACAGAAUGGAUCACUUUGCUAAUUAUCCCUGGAAAGACAAACAUCAGAUUGAUAUUUUCCUUCAUGUUGCUCUACCAACAAACAUAUUUGCUCCUCCCAUGUGCCCUGCCCUAGAGAGGUGACAGGGGACGUGGAGGAGGGGGCAUUUCCAGAGUCCUUGAACUACAGGAACCUGGGAAUAUUGAGCUGGAACACUGACUUAUCCCACAGAGCAUCCGAGUUGCCAGGUGAACCCUGUAAAGUGUCCUGGUGGCAGAAUAAACACCUACAGAAGACAGGUGGUUCCCAGCUGUUAAAGAGGAGCCUGUGGAUUUUCAGAGCAGACGACCCAGCCAGAGAACUGCCAGUGUUCACUGCACUUGUGACGAUUAAGCAAGAAGCCUACAAACAUAUUGCUUAACACCCAUCCAUCAGCUCCCAGGCAGUCCGGAGACCUGUGCCUGCCUUUUCCUAGAACUUGACAUCUCUAUUUGGGCCGUCUCCCCACAAAGGUUCCCAUCCAGACAAAGCUCCCCAGGAAGCAACAGGCAUCAGGCUGGCGGUCACACUGCCCAGUAGGGUAAAAGCCACUGGGACUGGCAUUAAACCAGGUGGGGCUGUAGAGAGCCAGAGGGAGGCUGGGAGGGAGCGGGGGCGUCCUCUUCCUGCAGGGCCCCUCUCCGCCUUUCUCUUCUCCCUGCUCCUGGCACAUGAAAGUAUGUGCUCUGGACGCCGUUGGCCCUGAGAAACUGGGGCCAGGCCAUGGGCGCUCCAGGCUGGUGCAAACAGGGAACGUGAUCCUGCCCGCCUAGCCUGCCCCUACGUGGGAAGCUGCCUCCCUCGUAACUCCGGUUUGGUGGCUCUCAGACUCCACUGGGCAUCAGACCACCCUAGGGGGGAGGGGAGGGGGUGGAGAGGAGGCUUGUGAAGAAGGCAUGUUCCCAGGUCCAGCCCCAGACCUUCUGACCCUGUGAAUGACGCUCCUCAUUUGAGAAAUGUAUCUGUGUUAGAAUCCCAUACUGGUAGACGGUUCACCUAAACUGGCCCCCAGACAAUGCUUUAUAAACGACUGUGCCAUCAUGUACAAACUGGAAGCUUUUACAUAAAAAUCUCAUUUCCAUUCUGCAUGAGACCAGGCCCAGGUCUACGUUACCACUUGACAGUAAGAAACCAGUGCUAAGCAGCCUCUACCCUGUGAUGCAAGGCCGGUGCCCCCCAGUUCACAUUAGCACCCCACCCCCAAUACACACACAGAAGCUCAUUCACUCACAUUCUGUCUCUCUCCUCUGGCCACGCUCCUCAAGCUUUGACCCUGCAGCCUCUGCUCCAUCCUGCUGGCGGGAUGAGGGGUAGAGAAAGCCAAGAGAGCUCGCUUUUCUCCUUCCCCAGCUGCAAUCAAGUGAUACUAAUGUCCCCACUGACUCGCUGACCCGUGGAGUUACGUCUCCUGACUGCAUCCUCCUGUGCCUUCUCCCCACUAGGAUGGAACUUGAACAGAAGAAGAGCCUUUGUCUGGUUUGCUCUCUGGAGUGCCCCCCCCCCGAGCCUAGCACAGUGUCUGGCACACAGAAGGGAGCUGAAAAUACCUACCAAGCAAAUCAAAAUCACAAUGAGAUACACUUCACACUGACUGGGAUGGCUCUAAUUGCAAAAUGGAAACUAAUAAGUGUUGACAAGGAUGUGGAGAAAUUGGAGCCCUUGUAUGUUGCUGAUGGGAAUGCAAACUGGGGCAGCCAUUGUGGAAAACAGUCCAGCAGUUCCUCAAAAAGUUAAACACAGGGGUGCCUGGGUGGCUCAGUCAUUAAGCAUCUGCCUUUGGCUCAGGUCAUGAUCCCAGGGUCCUGGGAUCGACUCUGCAUCAGGCUCUCUGCUCAGCGGGGAGCCUGCUUCUCCCUCUACCCCUCCCCCCUGCUUGUGAUCUCUCUCUCUCUGUCAAAUAAAUAAAUAAAAUCUUUUUAAAAAAAAGUUAAACAUAGAGUUACCAUAUAAUCUAGCAAUGCCACUCGUAGGCUUAUGUCCUAGAGAAUUAAAUGCAGGUGUUCAAACAAAAACUUGUACACAGAUGUUCAUAACACUAUUCACAAUAACCAAAAGGUAGAAACAACCCAGAAGUCCAUCAACUGAUGAAUGGAUAAACACAUUGUGAUAUAACCAUACAAUUGAAUAUUAUUCAGUCACAAAAAGGGAUGAAGUACUGAUACAUGCUAUUACAUGGGCAAACAUUAUAGGCUCAAGAAGCCAGACACAGGGGCGCCUGAGUGGCUCAGUUGGUCGAGCAUCCAACACAGGUUGGUUUCGGCGCAGGUCGUGAUCUAGGGGUCGUGAGAUCAAGCCCCAGCUCCGCUCCUCACUCAGCCAAGAGUCUGCUUGGGAUUCUCUCAAUAUGCUCCCCCCUUCUCUCUCUCUCUCAAAUAAAUAAUUUUUUUAAGCCAGACACAAAAGGCCAAAAGUUAUACAAUUCCAUUUACGUAAAAUAUCCAGAUUAGGCAAAUCCAUAGAGACAGAAAGUAACUCAAUGGUUGCCAGCAGCUGGGAGGAGAAGGUAAUAAAGAGUGACUACCUAUGGAUGGGGGGGUUCCCUUUGGGAGUGAUG
This is a long non-coding RNA of Ailuropoda melanoleuca (giant panda), 5338 nucleotides long. The record is from Ensembl. NCBI's taxonomy places the organism in Eukaryota, Metazoa, Chordata, Mammalia, Carnivora, Ursidae.